AUGUCGGCAUUGCAGAGGCCGAGUACGGCGACUACGGCGUCGGCGUGCAUCCCUGAUAUGGCUCGGGGCACGCACGUGUUCACGGUCGCUGGCUAUAGGCUGCACAAGGGCCUCGGCAUCGGCAACUUCAUCCGAUCUGCCACCUUCGCCGUCGGCGGCUACGACUGGUGCAUCCGCUACUACCCCGACGGAUUCAGUUCUGAAACCAACGACUAUGUAUCAGUCUUCGUUGAGCUUCAGAGCAAGAAAUCCACGGUGAGGGCGCUGUACGACCUGAGGCUGACCGACCGGGCCACCGGGUCGUCGUCAUUAGUUUUCUCCAGGCCGUCGUCCUUCCCGGCGUUCGACUCAUGGAGGAUCGACCAUCUCAGGGGGGCUUCCAAGUUCAUGAAGAGGGACAUCCUGGAGGCGUCCCCAUACCUGCAGGAUGACUGCCUCUUGAUUCAGUGCGACUUGACCGUUCUCCUCAAGGAAAUACCAACCGUGGCGACCGCCACCAAGACGCCGGAGAUCGAGGUGCCGCCGUCUGACUUGUUGAAGAAUCUGGCAAAACUGCUAGAGGGGAACAAAGGAUCCGAUGUGAUG
Molecule: ribosomal RNA, 585 nt
Filed under: Triticum aestivum (bread wheat)
Lineage: Eukaryota; Viridiplantae; Streptophyta; Magnoliopsida; Poales; Poaceae
Description: partial small subunit ribosomal RNA
Source: RNAcentral